GCAUAUAAUUAAGCGGAGGAAAAGAAACUAACCAGGAUUCCCUUAGUAAGGGCGACUGAAGAGGGAAUAGCUCGUGCUGUGAAUCUGUGCUUGUAUGAAGCGCCGAAUUGUGGUCUGUAGAAGCAAGUGUUUGGCACGCCGGGCCAAGUCCCUUGGAAAAGGGCAGCUGAGAGGGUGAGACUCCCGUAAUUGCCUGGGCUGUGGUCAUGUGACACUAGCUUUCUACGAGUCGAGUUGUUUGGGAUUGCAGCUCAAAUYGGGUGGUAAAUUCCACCUAAAGCUAAAUAGGAGUGGGAGAUCGAUAGCGUACAAGUACCGUGAGGGAAAGAUGCAAAGAACUUUGAAAAGAGAGUUAAAGAGUACCUGAAAUUGCUGUAAGGGAAGUGAAGGAAAUCAGUGCCUUGCUUGGUCAUAUUUCCCCUCCUGCUUGCAGGUGAGGCGCUGUGGCUUUGCAUGAUGUCACCCUUUGUUGGUCCAGGCAGAAACAGGCUUACGGGAGGUAGGUCCACUUGUGGUCUGAUACCGUGCGUCUCGUGUGCCGGGACUGAUGGAGGGCNACAAAAUGGUCUUCUUUACCCCGUCUUGAA
Molecule: ribosomal RNA, 587 nt
Filed under: Plagiogramma staurophorum
Lineage: Eukaryota; Bacillariophyta; Plagiogrammaphyceae; Plagiogrammales; Plagiogrammaceae
Description: eukaryotic LSU rRNA
Rfam family: Eukaryotic large subunit ribosomal RNA
Source: RNAcentral